This 4116-nucleotide ribosomal RNA is filed under the name Triticum aestivum (bread wheat). Its description in RNAcentral is "partial small subunit ribosomal RNA". Lineage: Eukaryota; Viridiplantae; Streptophyta; Magnoliopsida; Poales; Poaceae. The record is from RNAcentral.
UCCUUCUGACAGUAGAUCUGACAGUCUCGUGUCCCCCUUCCCAUGGCGUUCGGCGUUGCUGCGAUUCUUGGCCAGAUAACCAUUUUCCCUUCAAUCGGUCUGGAUCUGGGAUCUGAAAGGUACCAGCUUCAGUAAGACCUGAAGCAAGCUAAGGCAAGCAACUUGAUUCACGAAGGUAGACUGUUUUGCUGGUGCCUUCCAUUGAUCUGAUCAGCUUAUAGUUCCACUUUCAUACAACAAAGGCUUCCUUGCCUUCAGUUUGCUAAGCUUCCAUAAAGAUAUCGGGAUACUGAAGAGCACAAUUAAAGAGCAAGAAGAUGGAGUUGGUGGUAGGUGCCUCGAAUGCUACCAUGAGGUCCCUCCUGGGCAAGCUGGGGGGCCUUCUAGCCCAGGAGUAUGCUCUGGUCCGUGGAGUCCGCCGUGAUGUUCAGUACAUCAAUGAUGAGCUUACAAGCAUGCAGGCCUUCCUCCGUGACCUGAGCACUGCCCUGGAUGACCAUGACAACCGGAUGAAGGACUGGAUGAAGCAGAUCCGUGACAUGGGCUAUGACAUUGAAGAUUGCAUUGAUGACUUUGCCCACCGCAUCCCCCGUGAUCCCAGCAGUGAUGUUAAAUGCUUAUUCAUCAGAACAAGGUUCUAUGAACUCCGGAUGUGGUGGCCUCGUCGUGACAUUGCGUCCAAGAUUGCUGACCUCAAGGUGCGGGCACAACAGAUUGGUGAGCGGCGUAGAAGAUAUGGGGUGCACAACCCAAGGAACCGUAAGAAUGGCUCUGGAGUUAGCGCUGCAACAUACGAGGUUGCUGAGCAUCAGCUCACAGAGCGUCAGCUCAUUGGUACAAAGGAGCCCGUGGGGAUGACGGCUGACAUGAAGAAGCUUGAGGAUUGGUUAGCCAAAUCUGAUAAAAGUUGUUAUGAGGAGCGAGCUGUUCUGUCCAUAGUCGGAUUCGGCGGCGUGGGAAAGACCACUAUUGCAAUGGCUUUGUACCAAGAGGUCAGGGAUAAAUUUGAUUAUCGGGCAUCAGUCACCGUAUCUCAAAACUAUGAUGAAGAUGCAGUCCUCAUGAUGAUUCUAAAACAAGUCAAGCCAAAGGAGAGUGAUCACGAGAACCAACACAAGACUGGCAGCUCUGAUACAAAACAGAUUAAAUUUGGAAUUAGCCACGAUAAACUCGUGAAAGAACUACAAGAUCAUCUGGCUGAAAAAAGGUAUCUCCUCUUGAUUGAUGACAUAUGGUCUGCAAAAACAUGGGAGAGUAUCAGAAAGUGCUUGCCACAUGAUAAUAAAAAAGGCAGCAGAGUAAUAGUGACUACAAGAUUUCAAGCUGUUGGUGCCACAUGCUCCCAAGGAGAGAUUGAUUUUGUUCAUCCAGUCGAAUUUCUUAAUGAAGACGAGUCUAAAAGGUUAUUUAAGCGAAGUGUUUCUGAAUCCAAAAGCAUCAAAUAUAGCGAGAAAGAACUGGACCAAGUCACUGAGGAGAUAUGCAAGAUAUGCAGGGGUCUGCCUUUGGCCAUAGUUACCAUGGCUGGUCUUGUUGCCAGCAACCCGGACACACUCAGCAAAAAAUGGGAAGCAGUGUGCAAAUCAUUAUUUCCAGAGUCGGUGCCUUCUCUCACCUUGGAUGGUGUUACAAGGAUACUCGAGUACUGCUACAAUGAUUUGCCUGCAGAACUCAGGACCUGCUCGUUGUACCUGAGCAUAUUUCCUAAGGGUUCAAAAAUUAGUAGGAAGCGUUUGAUUCGGAGGUUGAUAGCCGAAGGUUUCGUUAGUGAGAAGCAUGGCUUGUCAGAUGAGGAAGUUGCAGAAACAUACUUCAAUCAGCUGAUAAAAAGGAAGAUAAUACGGCCGGUUGAACACAGCAGCAAUGGGAAGGUAAAAAGCUUUCAGGUUCAUGAUAUGGUUCUUGAAUAUAUUGUGUCCAAGUCAAGCGAAGAGAAUUUUAUUACUGUGGUUGGUGGCCACUGGCUGAUACCAAUGUCGACCAAUAAAGUCCGUCGACUCUCCGUGCAAAGCAGUGGUUCCGAACAUGGAAGUUCAACAAAACACAUGAACCUGUCACAAGUGCGAUCACUGACCAUGUUCCGGAGCCUGGACCAACUUCAUUUCCACUCUUUCAAUAAUGGGAUUUUACAAGUGCUGGAUCUUGAGGGUUGCAAGGGUUUGAAAGAGAAACAUCUGAAGGACAUGUGUAGAAUGCUUGUGCUGAAGUAUUUGAGCCUUCGGGGAACAGAUAUUUCCAAAAUACCCUCUAAGAUUGAGAAACUCGAGUACUUGGAAACUCUCGACCUAAGGGAGACUGAUGUCGGUGAGCUGCCAAAAUCUGCAGGGCAGCUCAAAAGAAUAAUCAACAUAUUUGGUGGGAAUAAAAACCCAAGAAGGGGGUUGAAGUUGCCUCAAGAGAUUAAUAAGGAGACAAUGAAAGCACUUCGUAUACUGUCGGGGAUCGAGAUUGAUGAGCAAUCAACAGGUGUAGAAGGCCUCCAUCAGUUGACAGGGCUGAGGAAGCUUGCCAUUUACAAGCUCAUAAUAUUGAAGGAUAGUAAAAUCUUCAAAGAAUUACGCUCUGCAAUCGAGUAUCUUGGCAGCUGUGGUCUGCAGACUCUGGCGCUCAACGAUGAAGGGUCUGAUUUUAUCAACUCACUGGACACCAUGUCCGCGCCUCCAAGAUACCUCAGCGCCCUUGAGCUCUCUGGCAACUUGGAUAGUCUUCCCAAAUGGAUUAGCAAACUAAGUAACCUCCACAAAUUGACCCUCUCUGUAACAGUUCUCCGAAUGGAUACUUUCGAGCUCCUCUGCGACCUGCCUUUGUUGUUUUCCCUCACCUUUUCGCUGAGUGCAGCGAAGCAGGAUGAGGCCAUAGAGGACAUACUUGAGAAGAACAAAUCGGAGUCCGGCGGGGAGAUCUUCGUUCCAAGUGCAGGAUUCAAGAGUCUAAAGCUGCUUCGCUUCUUCGCACCUCUAGUGCCAAAGCUGAGCUUCCCAGAAGAUGCAAUGCCAGCACUCGAGAGGAUUGAGAUGCGGUUUGAAGCCUUUGAGGGCCUUUUCGGCGUCGACACCCUGGAAAGCCUCCAGGAGGUGCACCUCAGAGUCAAUAGCGCAGCAGAUGAAAUAACCAACUUCAUAGUAGAAGAUUUGAAGGCCAUCAAGAAGCCGAAGAUAAUCGUGGAUCAUGUCAUCACCAGCUGAAAUGUGGCAUUCUAUUGGAGCACUUUUCUUACUCAUCAUCCAUCUUUCCCCUCUGUUUGUCGAGAUUACCGAUUUUAUUUGCGCCAUUCGUACUUCAAUAAAAACAGGAUGCUGCCGCAUUCCUGUACACCGCAAGACUCCUAUUGUUUUUGCUUUUGAAAUUCGCGCUGUAUUUCGUUAUGGGCUUGUAAGUUGGUAUCGGAGGAGUUGAUUUUAACUUGAAACUGCAAAUGUUGGUCAAAGAUGUUUUAUUAUUGAUCAUGAGAACCCCUUCACCAUGUAGCGAUUUGUGAUCCCCUCUGUCAAUGUUGGACGAACUCUGUAUUUUUUCCUGUCCUUGCUCUGUGCAUGCUGUGCUUUUUGAUUCUCUUGUUAAGUGUUGAUGCUUUUUGAGGUAUAAUAGAACUAGUUCCUGAAAUCUCAAGAUGAGGGUUUCGAUAGUUCCUGCAUAUCUGAACCUUUCUACAAUUUUUAAGUGCGCCAAUCAUUUUGGAUUGCCAAAAAAUACUAGAAGCGUAGCAUCUGAUAUAUCAAGUUUUUAUUUUCUGUCAACUAUGUGAUUCAGUGAAUUGCAAAAUACUCAUGGAUCCACUUUUUUUGCAUUGCAGAUUAGUUGGUUUGUUGCAUUGGUGGUCACAAUAUCUAGAAGAAGAAAAAGGCAUUGGUGGUCUGCAGGGAACAGGGUUGUGGUCGCAGGGGAAAGCUCUUCCUCUGCUAAAUCGGUUGGUUGUCUUACUUUAAUGUGCUUGGCAUUAAUAAAUUAGCAAAAGGAAGAGGCUAAGGGAACUUGAGGAGAUACUCAUGGCUGUAGCUGUUUGUCUACAAAAAUCAACAUGAUGCGUGUCAAUCUGAGGACACAGGUGAAUUGAAUUUGCACGAUCCGGUGGUUGUCUACAGCAUUGCAUUUUUAUUUUAUUUUCUUACAAAAUAU